Molecule: ribosomal RNA, 234 nt
Filed under: uncultured Candidatus Saccharibacteria bacterium
Lineage: Bacteria; Candidatus Saccharimonadota
Description: partial 16S ribosomal RNA
Rfam family: Bacterial small subunit ribosomal RNA
Source: RNAcentral
UAAGUAAGAUGUGAAAUCACAGGGCUCAACCCUGUGGCUGUGUCUUAAACUGGCAAACUAGAAACAUGAGAGGUCACUGGAAUUCCUAGUGUAGGAGUGAAAUCCGUAGAUAUUAGGAGGAACACCAAUGGCGAAGGCAGGUGACUGGCAUGUUUCUGACACUGAGGCUCGAAAGCGUGGGGAGCGAACGGGAUUAGAUACCCCGGUAGUCCGCGCCGUAAACGAUGGAUACUA